Molecule: ribosomal RNA, 400 nt
Filed under: uncultured bacterium
Lineage: Bacteria
Description: bacterial SSU rRNA
Rfam family: Bacterial small subunit ribosomal RNA
Source: RNAcentral
AAGGAAUUUUCGGCAAUGGGCGCAAGCCUGACCGAGCAACGCCGCGUGCGGGAUGACGGCCUUCGGGUUGUAAACCGCUUUUCGGGGGGAGGAUAAUGACAGUACCCCCGGAAGAAGCUCCGGCUAACUCUGUGCCAGCAGCCGCGGUAAGACAGAGGGGGCAAGCGUUGUCCGGAGUUACUGGGCGUAAAGCGCACGCAGGUGGCCGCGCAAGUGCCGUGUGAAAGCGCCGGGCUUAACCCGGCGAGGCCAGGGCAGACUGCACGGCUCGAGGGCGGCAGAGGUCGUUGGAAUUGCCGGUGUAGUGGUGAAAUGCGUAGAGAUCGGCAGGAACACCCAAGGGGAAACCAGACGACUGGGCCGCUCCUGACACUCAGGUGCGACAGCGUGGGGAGCCAAC